Lolium rigidum is the source of this 1293-nucleotide long non-coding RNA. RefSeq lists it as uncharacterized. The transcript is spliced from 2 exons. The record is from RefSeq and is a predicted model, not a curated record. Lineage: Eukaryota; Viridiplantae; Streptophyta; Magnoliopsida; Poales; Poaceae.
UGCUGGAGGCGGAGAUGCGUGAGUUGGAGGAGGCCCUUCGUGUGGAGGGCAAUGCCAGACGGUGGUCCAAAACGGCGGCAGAUGGUGAGGAGCACCCAAUACGGAAGAAUCAGUUUCCAAUUGUUGAUGUCCAGGACAAUUUUGAGAAGCUUUCAAUGUACAAGGGACUUUCUGCAAAAUGUAAAUUACACUACGGCUCCGACAAGUUCCACGGGACGGAGGGAGUACAAUGGAUUGAGGACCCUGGUUGAAGCGUUGGAGAUUCGAUGUGAUAGGCUGAUUAAUUGAUGGUAGAGUAGCUCAGUACCCAGGUUGCAUCCUUUCUUUUUAUCUCCUUGUUUUUUAGUUCUGGCACAAGCUAUUUGAUCUUGCUGAUGAUUCUGCAUCUCGGUCGUGUUUUAUUUUUAACAUCUUCUAUUGUAUCCAUAACUCAAACGAUUCUUGUUGAUGUUUGUUCUGGUAUAAGCUAUUUGCAUUGAAACUGUAUUUGAAUUUAGGCAGCCAAGGAAAUACAUGUCAUCUGAAUUUUUCAUUUUGGAGCAGAUGUUUGCCGAUCGCAUGCGAAUGCAGUCGUUUUUGAUUGUCUGGCGGAUAGUGAGGGUGAAAGAAAUGCAUCUAGAUCCAACGCAGUCGUUUUUGAUUGUCUGGCGGAUAGUGAGGGUGAAAGAAAUGCAUCUAGAUCCAACGGGUGAGUUGUAUUGUUCUGUUUCUUAUCCUCUGAGGAAAGUUGGUUUCUUUCUCAUGUAUUGAUUGAGUGCUGGUUUUGCAUUAUCCAAUUGUAAAUCCAACUUCAUUGACUGUUUGUAGCCUGUUUUCAAUUCUGCUGCACAAUCUGUGUCUUACCUUAUAUUUACCCAUUGUAUGACUUGAUAUAGGUCACUCAUUUGACAAUUACAAUCUAACUUUGCACUCCACAACAGGCUCAAUGUGGUACUCCUACAAAUAGUGGUUAGAAGAGAGGGUGACAAUGUUGCACAGUGGUGUGGUAGCAAAACAGCGAAAGAGGUGAAGCUAAGCUGCUGGCGGGAAAGGAGAAGGGUGACAGAUGCAACCUUUCCAUGCCUUGGUACUUUGGAGCACUGUGUUUUAUGUGAGAGAGUGAGUGAGGGAGGGAGAGUUGUGAAAAGUCUCUUUGUGUUAGGAAAAAGUGUAAUACACAGAGUGUAAUCCGGUUGAUCGACACUUAAACAUGGAGGGUUUGCCACAACUCUCGAUGUCGUGUUACCCAUAUGAAUUGUAACUCCAUUUAUGAUUAGGUAUAAAAUAUAAUUAACAUGAAAAAAUUAUGAAACA